UACGUAGGGUGCAAGCGUUGUCCGGAAUUAUUGGGCGUAAAGAGCUCGUAGGCGGUUUGUCGCGUCUGCUGUGAAAACGCGAGGCUCAACCUCGCGCCUGCAGUGGGUACGGGCAGACUAGAGUGUGGUAGGGGAGAUUGGAAUUCCUGGUGUAGCGGUGGAAUGCGCAGAUAUCAGGAGGAACACCGAUGGCGAAGGCAGAUCUCUGGGCCGUAACUGACGCUGAGGAGCGAAAGCAUGGGGAGCGAACAGG
This 253-nucleotide ribosomal RNA is filed under the name uncultured bacterium. RNAcentral describes it as "partial 16S ribosomal RNA". It matches the Rfam family "Bacterial small subunit ribosomal RNA", at positions 524 to 776 of the family's 1533-position model. The record is from RNAcentral.